Puntigrus tetrazona (Sumatra barb) is the source of this 2794-nucleotide long non-coding RNA. RefSeq lists it as uncharacterized. The transcript is spliced from 3 exons. Lineage: Eukaryota; Metazoa; Chordata; Actinopteri; Cypriniformes; Cyprinidae. The record is from RefSeq and is a predicted model, not a curated record.
UGGGCUUUAUCUAACAGCAGAGUCACCAUACGUCAUUUAUUUAAAUUAAAUGACCUAAAAUGUCUGUGGCUUGGUUUUGUUUUUCAAUCAAUGUGCUUUAUCUUCAGUUUUGUUCUGAAUAUGAACAAAGCAUUUACGGGUUUGGAACGACAUGGGGGUUGAGUUUGCUUCUGUGGUGAGAACUGACAGAGGCCCUCUUUGUUCUUCUUCUGUGAAACUGGGGCUUGUCAUUUCAUGCUUCACAUGCUGAUAGGAGAGGGAGGAAGUCACCAGGGAGCUGUUUCAGAGCUAAAGGAUGCUGGGACUGUGGUAUUCAGCCCACACUUGACUCACUGACCUGCAUUACUGACCGCGUUCGGGUCAGGAAGUCCAAAUCAAAGACACCAAAUAGCAACAAUUCCUGGGGAGGGAGAAUGGGAUUGCAUGUGCUUGUGGGCAUGAGAGAGAUCAUUCUCAGCAUUCUCAGCACGGAAUCUACCGAUUCAUUCAACUUCUGUGUUAGUGCACGUUUCAGUAAAAUGUACUUAUGAAGUAGUAAAAACUGAAGGAAUAUUUUUCUUCCCAUUAUAUAACUGGAAUGUGAAUAAAAGCUGAACUGAUCUUACGCACUUAGGAGCUUAAUAAUAAUGACCAAUCAACAGUUUACAUUAAAAACAAAUGCUCUUAUGCUAAUGUCUCAAAAUAAUUUAAAGACUUUGUAGAACUGAAGUGUUUAGAUAUAAAAAGUCAGUUCCACCAUUGAUUUACACUGGGCUUACAUACAUUGAUAAAAGAACAGCAACAAUUUUGUUAAAGGCGUGGCUUAGUUUUUUGACUGAAUCCAGUAAUUAAUACAGAUUACAUACAAGAUGCAUAUUCAAGACACCACUAAUGAUUGUUUACUUCCUUUCCAGUUCAGUAAUUUCCCAUGACAAAUUUAAAAUCAACCUCUCUGAAAACCUAAUGAAAGGCAACACUUUUUGGCAGGCUGUUGAACGGUACUUCACGCUUUUUGAGCAUUGGACAUUUAAAAAGAGCUUUCAAUGCAGUGCGUUUUCCUCUAAGAUCACAAAUUGAGAUCCACAAAAACUGACAGGUCUCAGCAAUUAUGAUUCACCAAGAGGCUGAAGUUUCCAUUUCUUAUGCUGUAUUUUCAAAUGCUCUUUGACGUUUUGUGAAAAUGAUAAGGAUCUGAGGCAGGUGUUGUCAAUGAUUGCAGUUCACUUUGUUUAGCUGGGUCGUCUGAUUUGAAUUCAGACUGAGGUCUUUUAUCAUUCAGAAGACCGUGACUGAUUUGAAAUCCAAUGCAUAUUGUAUGUGGAAGAUGAAGAUUGUAAAAUGCACCUCCAUAUGUAUGUAAUAUAAAAAAUGUAUUACAUUUCAUGGAUGUUAAGAAAUAUUUAUUGGUGGUGCAUUUAGUCAGUAAAUAGGUAAUUCUGUAGAGGUAGGGAUAGACCACAAAGUGUUAUCCCCUCCAUCCCCCCCUAAUCACACACUGUACAUAUCUACAUAUAUCUGAUGGUCAGAAGGUUAAUAGGUCAUCUAUAAAAAUCCUCUGUAGGUCAAUGUUAUGUGACCCCAGAGCUAAAAAUGAGGUAGAAAAAAUGUACAGUUUAAGUCACCUAAUACAGUAGCCUACACUGUGACAAGAAUAUACAAUACAAAAUACUCACUCUGGCAACCAUUGUUACAGUUUGUCAUACACAUGACAGCUAUGUUGCUUCACAACCAUAAACAACGACUGACAACAUAAUAUAUAUUCAUUUUAACAGCCAGCAGUACACAAUUAUUUCAGGUAUCUGUAAAACAGCAUACUACAGAGCAUCUGUGUGGGUGGCUGAAAGAAAUUAUUCCACAGGGAGAAUUUAUAGAUUGACCUCUUGAACCGAAACCAUGUGGCUUCUAACAUAUUGUCACACAGCUCUGUUUGGAAGCGCUCAGAAAGAGUCUAUGUUUACCUAGGUAUGCAGCCAGCAGAAUAAAAAUGAAUUGCUGUGAAAUUUUGGUUUACAAAUAGACUCUUUAACAUGCAUGAAAUGAAUAUUUUUUUCUAGCAAUGUUCAGUAUACCAGUCUGCCAGAUGGAGGAGAAAGGAAUAGUAUGUGAACAUGCUAAAUGUAAUCGGCUGAAAAAAUGAGGGGAAACACCUGUAAGCACUUCCUAGUAAUAAAUGAAUAGAAUGUGUUCCACAAUAACUGUAAAGCCAUUAAUGUAUGUUUUAACAGUAAUUCAUGUGCUGGAUAUAAAACAGGACCAUAACUGAUAUUGUGAGACAUGUAAUGUAUUAUGCAAAUUAAUGCAAUGGCUGGUGUAGUAUAAAUAGGAACGGUAUGUGCUUCUGUGACACUUACAGAUAAGGAACAUUAUUUGAGAGUGAUAACACAAAACAGAUGGCAAACUGAACUCCCUCAUGCUGUUAGUGCAUGUGUGUGUGUGUGUGUUUGAAACUUCAAUGAUAAAGGUGGUAGCUGUGAGAUAAAUCCAAAGUCACCUUUUAGGCAUUUCCCAGGAGUAUCUCUAUUUCUUUCGUUAAUUCUAUGUUUAUUGCUCAUUUCAUAGAAAAAAACCCCACUAUUCUCUUCUUUCUGUUUUGAUUUGUUCCUCCCCCCCUAUCACUUGUUUAUUAAACCAGCCGUGUGAUUAUAUUGUGUAUGUGCAUGUGUGUGAGGGAGCAAAACAAAGAGGGAAGGAGCAAAUAGUAAUAGACUGUUAAAAAAGAAAAGGAAAAAAAAAGCUUUUGUUUUGGCUUCAUGCAUAAUUUUAGGAACUUGGUAAGAUCCCAGGCUUUCAUAGUUUGUGCUUUGCAGAAGGAACA